GUAGCAUGCGUGAGUGAGUUAUUGAAGGUACUAGGUUUGUUCGAACGACAUCGUUUUGGGCAAGGGGAAACAGUGGAAAAUGAAGGCGUUGGGAUGGUGGCUGAUAGCGGUAGGCACGCUUCGAUUGGCUUCCGUAUGGUUCGGUUUCUUCGACAUUGGGGCUCUUCGUCUCACCGUUUUCUCCAAACCUACAACCUUAAUAUGGUGGUUGGUUGAUGAGAGUCUGGCAUGUUAAUUACAUUUCUGUUGGUUAUGAACUGGUAUAUCCAAGGAUGGUUUACUUCAAUUUUUUUGGGGAAUUAUACUUGAAAGGAUGUUAAUAUAUCAAGUUCAAGCAGACAUGAAAGCAACAUCUGAUGGUUAACUGAGUAAGGGAACAGGGAAAGCUAGACUAAGCAUGGGCAUUGAGUCUUGAUGGACAUGAUGCAGCAAUAGGUGUUUUCCAAAGGAGCUGAGUGCCACCAUACAAGGAAUGUCCAGCUGGGACUUACAAAAAUGUUACUGGAUCUGAUAAAUCACUUUGUCAUCAUUGUCCUGUUAAUGAGCUUCCUCAUCGUGCUGUUUAUAUUUCAGUCCGCGGUGGUAUUACUGAAACCCCUUGCCCCUACUAAUGUGUUUCGGGUAGAUAUCACAUGCCUGACUGUUAUACAGCUCUUGAAGAAUUAAUUUACACAUUUGGUGGGCCUUGGUUAUUUGGCCUUUUUCUUACGGGUCUCUUGAUCCUGUUGGCACUGGUGCUUAGUGUUGCAAGAAUGAAAUUUGUUGGGGUUGAUGAAUUACCAGACCCAGCACCCGCCCAACAUGGUUCUCAAAUAGAUCACUCCUUCCCUUUCCUAGAGUCACUAAAUGAGGUGUUGGAAACAAACAGAGUUGAGAAGUCCCAGAGUCAUGUUCACAGAAUGUACUUUAUGGGACCUAAUACUUUCAGUGAGCCCUGGCAUCUACCACAUACACCUUCAGAGCAAAUACAGAUGUUGUGUAAGCAAAUCAUUUUUCUGUUUGAUCAUUAUAGAUCCCAUGGUUGAAAUUUGAGGAUGCCAGGUCUUUUAUUUUGUUAAUUAUGUUAUUUGGUUAUGAUUUUGAGAUGGAGAUCUUCAAACACUUGACAUGGAAGUUAUGAGACCGAGUUCAAUACAAUUGUGGAUGAAAUUAAUGCUACAGCUGCUUACCAAUGGUGGGAGGUAGCAAUAUGUAGCGUUCUUUCUGUUCUUGCUUAUCCGCUUGCAUGGUCCUGGCAACAGUGGUGCAGGAGAUUGAAGUUGCAACGCUUAUGCGAGUUUGUUCAAUCAGAGUAUGAUCAUGCUUGCCUUCUUUCUUGCCGAUCACGAGCUCUCUAUGAAGGGAUAAAGAGCAACUGGCUAUUGUGCCAACUUAUAUACAAGAGAUCAGCACCAAGCAGCAGAAGUACGCCUGCCAACUUUUGCACAAUUACUAUAUGACAACGUCGGAUUCUUAGAACGCUUCCUUAUCUUCUCGUUUAUCACUUCAGAGUUUCCAGUUUUCCAUUUUUCUCCAAUAAUACAAUACAUUCAUGAAGAUAUCUGCAAAGAUUUGAGGAUCUGAAUUAGGUUGAAGAUCCGGUUAGUAGAAAUGGUAAUAUUCCAUAACCGAAUAAUAUAAGAGUU
Molecule: non-coding RNA, 1625 nt
Organism: Cajanus cajan (pigeon pea)
Lineage: Eukaryota; Viridiplantae; Streptophyta; Magnoliopsida; Fabales; Fabaceae
Source: RefSeq, a predicted model, not a curated record